Long non-coding RNA from Ostrinia nubilalis (European corn borer), 418 nucleotides. RefSeq lists it as uncharacterized. The transcript has 3 exons. The record is from RefSeq and is a predicted model, not a curated record. Lineage: Eukaryota; Metazoa; Arthropoda; Insecta; Lepidoptera; Crambidae.
CAUGUUUUGUUGAAGGAUAAUUGAUGAAUAAUUUUCCACAAAAAAUUGGAUUUUAACCACGAUAGGAAAAUGAGAACCUGCGCCUAUCCGUUUAAACCGAUUGUAGAAUUUAUGGAAAGAUGUGGCGAUUUGAGUAUGCCCACUGAAGGGCCCCAAGAAAGAGCCAACAAUAGUCAACGGUGGGUGGAACUAACGGACACGCGAACGUGAAAUGCUGAUGCCACCGGCGACACGAAAACUACUGAGAAAUUGAGAAAAGUGUGGAGUGACUUUAAACAGCAAGAAGAAGGCAACUCGCAUACACAGAGCUGCCAAGGGAACACUGGACUGGUGGCGGUCCAGGUUCUUCCCUGAAGCCAAAGGAUUUAGAGCAGAGUGCUUGUAAAUAACUACUUGUAAAUCAAAUCCAUGAUAAAGA